Choloepus didactylus (southern two-toed sloth) is the source of this 4125-nucleotide long non-coding RNA. RefSeq lists it as uncharacterized. The transcript is spliced from 7 exons. The record is from RefSeq and is a predicted model, not a curated record. NCBI's taxonomy places the organism in Eukaryota, Metazoa, Chordata, Mammalia, Pilosa, Megalonychidae.
UUGACUGGGCAGACAUUAAUUUCUCCAUUUUACAGAUAGGAAACCUGAAGUUCAGGGAAGGUAAGGGGCUUGUGUAAGGCCCCAAGCAUCUAGAAUCUGGUGACAAUGCCAGACCUUCACCCCAGCUCCCCCGAGCCCCAGGCUGAGCAGUGCCCUCCGCCCCACAAGGGGACUGCAGCAGACUCUAGCACCUGACAGGAUGUGCAAGUAAAUGUUAAAGAGGCUCCGUGUAUAUGUGCAAGCAAAUCGAACGCUUUCAGGGGCGGCCCGCUCUCUGCACAGUCAUCUGACCCGAAGCCCCAGCCACUGGUUAACAUUUAGAAGUUCCCAUGCCCUGCUUGAGUCUUGUGAUCCUAGAAUCUGAUGUUCUAUAGAACAUUAGGGCUAGAAAGUCCUUUGAAUCCACCUCUCUACCUCCCUCCCUUCACAGAUGAUGAAACUGAAGUCCAGAGAAGUCAAAUUAUUUGCAUCAGAGAUGCCAGAGUCGGACAAGGCACACAGCACAGUGUUCAUGCUUUCCCUCGUCUGCCACACGGCUCCCUCCUCACCAGCCACCCACAGCUCAGCAGCCGCUUCUCCACUGCUGGGUGGUGAGGUUUCAGGUGGUUUCAAGUCCUUGUCCUUUUCUACAUUUCCCCAAAUUUCUCCACUGAACAUUUUCCAAAAUUUCUUUGAAAAUAAAUUACAGAAGUAAUCAGAAAACAAAUCAUUGUUAUGUAUGCAUAAAUAUGAGUAAGAGAAGUAUAGUAGAAGCAUACGUCUCUUCCCAAAACACAUGAUUCUUCCAUGUUUUCCUAGAUGUUCUUUCAACUGAGGCUUAUUUGAGGGCUCAGAUAUUGCUGGUUGUCUUCUCCCACUGUAGUUCCUGAAAAAAGAGUGCUGCCCUUGCCUGAAGUGGAGCAAUAAAGCAGACCAACGCUGCCCUGGACAAAGCUCAGGAAGGAAGUGCACAGAAGAGACUGGCUGGUUGAACAGCCACCGGACCUGGGUGUGUGUCCAUGUGUCAGCCCCGUGCUCCAGAGAGAGAAAGCUGGGCUUUCUCAGCAGGGCCCACAGGCAGCCUCCCAAGCAGGCACUACCAAUCGACUAGAGUUAAAAGCUUUUGAGCAAAACACUAUCCAAAUAAAAGCAAUGUUUUAAGAAAGAUUAAUCUGAUCAUGAUACGCAAGACAACUUGGAAGGAACUGAAAUGGGUGUUCCUGAGGACACUAUGAGGAAAUGAACCAAAGAAGGAAAAAAGUCAAGGCAAGAAUGAGAGACGACAAAAAGUGACUCUAAGAAAUGCCCCGCUAAUUUCUAGAAAGCUUCUUAUCUGCAAAUGGAGUCUCCGAGUGAGAAGUACGUCGUAAACGCUUGGAAGCUUUGUUCUGGACAAGAGAAAAACAAGCCGACCUCAUUCUGGGCCUUGAAGCUUGACAGUGUCAUUUAUGGAGUGACAGAGUCACACUGUAAAUGACCAGAGACAUUCCAGAGUUCAUGACUGUUGUGUAACAACAACACUUCAAGGGUGGCUGCAGGCACGAGGCCGACCCGCCCGAGUGUGUGGUGGAUGUGGAGGAGCCACUCCGCCCUGGAACGUGGCUUUGCUCAGAGGCGCCAGGGCCUUCCUCGCCAUCCCCACCAACCCAGCGCCUCGCCAGGGGCGGGACUGGACAGACCGGAGGGACGACUCUAUUUUCAGGGAAUGACAAAUUGAUUGUGCUGAUUGGGUGAGAGUACCUGCUUACCUGUCCUGCUCUGCUUCCAAUUACAACCUGCAGGGAGGAUUUGUUUAGGAGUGACUUGUAUGAGGAAGUGUGGCCGAAGCACGAGAACCCAAACCACCCGGUACCGAAGAGGACGUCAGCCAAGGCUCACGUGGAAAAUUCGAGGCAAGGGGCCUUCCCCUCCCCACACUCCGACAGCCGCCAGGUUGCUGGGGAGGACAUUCCAUUCCACUGACAGAGAGAAGGAGACAAGAUGGCAGCUCUAAAUUACAUGUGCAACAGCCCAGGAGGCUUGUAAACACUUAAGGAGUUGAUUGCUAUUUUCAUUCCUGACUCAUUCCAUGGUGCAAAUAACAACUCCAUAAACUUGCCGAAGCCCAGCCGGAGUUAUUGGGGACAUGCAUUUGUGAACGUGAUCCACAGCGAGGAAUGAAUAUUCAUGGCAGAGUGAAUUUGAACUGCUCCCCAAACUGGUCAGCUCGUGAGUGAACCCAGAUCAGGUCUUAGCAUGGAAGUCAAGUUUAGAGACUUCAGUGAAGAAAAGCAUUCAUGAUUAGUAGCAUGAUCAAGAAGUGUCAGUACAGAAUCUGCCCUAAAAAGGCUCAACCCAGAUAUACAGCCAUGCACCAAAGCCUCGUUUUUCCUUCCAAUCCCCGUUGGGUACAAAUGCUAAGCAGACAGGUAUAAGGCAUUCUCAGGCUACGCCAGAGGUCAUCGUGGCCCUCUUUGGGCCUCCUGGAAACAUGGAGCUUCCUGAAGUGGAUGUUCUUUCCUUUGUUUAAUGAUCUCUUCCCCUAGCACCCCAAGAUGACCUGGGGCACAGUAGACUGCCAGAAAGAUAUGCUUUGCUGCUGUAAGGAUUGGAGAGCCCAGCUGGGAUGGGUUCGCCGUCUAAGCCAGAGAGGCGGUAAAAUGGUCCACAUGCGCCUGAGAUCGAGGGUGAUCACAGUGAAACUGAACACUCAAGUAGAGAAUGGUGUCCGCCCACAGGAACUGCCGUGCACCAACUGCUGCAAUGUAGGUUAAGCGCCGAGUUGCUGCUGGGGUCAGGCUCCGGCUUCCACGAGCUCGUGACUCAGUAAUAACUGGAAGCACGAUUGCUUUUUCACUCACUAUUUUUUAACGGUUUAUUCAUAAAGCAAUUUUUCACUUUUCACUUAUUUUCAACCCCUUUCACAUCUAUCUACUCACAGUUUCUAUCUUGGCUUAACCUUUCCCUCUCUCCUCCUCCUCCCUCUUUCUGGUUAAUUUUUCUUUAUUCUCUUUUUAAAACCUUGAACCGUUAAAACAGCAUCGAGGUUUUGAUUGCUUUACUAACUGAAAUGUGUCCUUUCAACGUCUCCUUUGGUUCUUAGUUAUUAACUCAUUCUCUUCUUUAGCCACCAGUAUUUUUGUUCCUCUUUCCUUUCUGUGGCAACAAACUUAAACCAUCUUACAAGUAUGCCUUUGCUUUAAAAGAAAAACAAAAGUCAAAAAGCCCAAAACCCAUUAAACCAAACAUCCCAGAAUUUGUGGUACUUCAGCAGAAGUUUAAUUUAAGCACAACCGAUUAUUUCCAUUAAAAUAAUCCUGAUUCCUUUCAGGUGAGCAUAUGAAUUCCUGGAGAAAGUUCACAGUUCUCACAAAUUAUCAGGACCUCUGCAAACCCACCCUCUUUUGCCUAAAGAAGCCACAAUACUGGUUUCCAUACAGGCCUGUCCCUCAGUUCCAUUUUCUCUGACAUCUGCUCUCUAAAGUACAAAUAUCUGCCUAUAACAACAACCAGAGUUCCAAGGAAAACAGCCCAGAAGGAAAUAAGAGAAAACAAGAGAAUCUGAGCAUAUUAAGAGAUAUAAGGCUCCCCAAAGAGCAUAUUAAGAGGUGUAAGACUUCCGAAAGAGCUGGAAGACAAACCAGGAAUGAUGCCAUCGUUUUAUGGAUCAGGAAACUGAGGCCCAGGGAGGUUUCAGGACUUUCUCGAGAGCAAACAGUUGACUAUGCACUGAACCAGGACCAGAGCUGAGUUCCAACUCUUGGUUCACGGCUCUUUCCAAGAAAGCCGGUGCCCACGAUUUCAGUUCACAUCUGGGGUUUAUUUUUAACCUUGGGCCCUGAGAGCCAUGCAAGAAGGAGUUGAAAUCAUUAAUGCUUCUCAGUUAGUUGUUCUCACAUGGAAUCACUGUCAGGUUACUUGUCCUAAAAUCAGGAAAGCAAGGAAGGGCUGGUUACAUGGAAGGGGAUGAGGAUGCAUCUUGCUUCCUUUGCCUGUGUGGACGAGGAGCACUGUGCUGGUGGAAGAAGGUGGGGAUGGGCUCUUCUUUUCCCAGGUAAUCACUGCACUGAAAGGCUACCAGCCUGUGAGUGGCUUUGCAGAGGGCCAGGUGCAAUGCUUGGUGAGAGUCUUGCCAUGUCUCAUUUUCCAUCCCCUUUCAGAAUUCCU